GACGUAGGGUCCAAGCGUUGUCCGGAUUUACUGGGCGUAAAGAGUGUGUAGGCGGCUCGUUAAGUGUAGAGUGAAAUCUCUGGGCUCACCCCAGAAACUGCUCUGCAUACUGGCGAGCUAGAGGGUCGCAGAGGUCUAUGGAAUUCCUGGUGUAGCGGUGAAAUGCGUUGAUAUCAGGAGGAACACCCAUGGCGAAGGCAGUAGACUGGGCGGCAUCUGACGCUGAGAUGCGAAAGCGUGGGUAGCAAACAGG
Molecule: ribosomal RNA, 253 nt
Filed under: uncultured bacterium
Lineage: Bacteria
Description: partial 16S ribosomal RNA
Rfam family: Bacterial small subunit ribosomal RNA
Source: RNAcentral